RNAcentral lists this ribosomal RNA (531 nucleotides) under Triticum aestivum (bread wheat). RNAcentral describes it as "partial small subunit ribosomal RNA". The record is from RNAcentral. Lineage: Eukaryota; Viridiplantae; Streptophyta; Magnoliopsida; Poales; Poaceae.
AUGGCCGAGAGCUCCCUGUCGCCGCGCCCGUCGCUGCACGCCGGCACGCUCAAAAGGUACUCCGCCGAGACCUGGCUCCAAGAACGUACGGUCAUGUUCGGCGACGCGGUGCGGAUGAACUUCUACGCGUGCCCGCGGCCGGACCCGGUGCUGGGGCUCAGCGCGCGCUCCGACGGAAGCACGGUCACCAUGCUCCAGCAUUAUGCUGGACGCACAGGACUGCAGUCAACCUCCGCGACUCGCUCUGCCUCUGAGGUGCUCACGAACGGCAGCGUCGAGCUCCUCCGGGCAGUGACCGACAGCGAGAAGGACCGGCCGUCCAUAGUGUCCUUCUAUACGCCGACCUACGUUGUCGAGCUCGGCCAUCUGGCAGAGCUCGUUGCCGACGGCGAGCCAUGCCCGGAGGUACAACCACGUUUCAGCACUUCCCAAAAAAUGAGAUUCACAUACGAUUAUGCUGCGAGAAUCACUCCAAAUCAGGCCAACAAGCCACUAAGAGUGCUAGGUGCUGACCGGCCUAAUGUUCGAUAG